This 120-nucleotide small RNA is filed under the name Marmota monax (woodchuck). The record is from RNAcentral. Lineage: Eukaryota; Metazoa; Chordata; Mammalia; Rodentia; Sciuridae.
GCUGGGCUUGGUGGCGCAUGCCUGUAAUUCCAGCAGCUCUGGAGGCUGAGGCAGGAGGAUCAUGAGUUCAGAGCCAGCCUCAGCAAAGCUGCUAAGCAACUCAGUGAGACCAUGUCUCUA